RNAcentral lists this ribosomal RNA (495 nucleotides) under uncultured bacterium. RNAcentral describes it as "partial 16S ribosomal RNA". It matches the Rfam family "Bacterial small subunit ribosomal RNA", at positions 28 to 507 of the family's 1533-position model. The record is from RNAcentral.
GACGAACGCUGGCGGCGUGCCUAAUACAUGCAAGUCGAACGCUGAAGGAGGAGCUUGCUUCUCUGGAUGAGUUGCGAACGGGUGAGUAACGCGUAGGUAACCUGCCUGGUAGCGGGGGAUAACUAUUGGAAACGCUAGCUAAUACCGCAUAAUAGUAGAUGUUGCAUGACAUUUGCUUAAAAGGUGCAAUUGCAUCACUACCAGAUGGACCUGCGUUGUAUUAGCUAGUUGGUGAGGUAACGGCUCACCAAGGCAACGAUACAUAGCCGACCUGAGAGGGUGAUCGGCCACACUGGGACUGAGACACGGCCCAGACUCCUACGGGAGGCAGCAGUAGGGAAUCUUCGGCAAUGGACGGAAGUCUGACCGAGCAACGCCGCGGGAGGGAAGAAGGGUUUCGGAUCGUAAAGCUCUGUUGUAAGAGAAGAACGAGUGUGAGAGUGGAAAGUUCACACUGUGACGGUAGCUUACCAGAAAGGGACGGCUAACUACGUG